Molecule: ribosomal RNA, 501 nt
Filed under: uncultured bacterium
Lineage: Bacteria
Description: partial 16S ribosomal RNA
Rfam family: Bacterial small subunit ribosomal RNA
Source: RNAcentral
AUUGAACGCUGGCGGCAGGCUUAACACAUGCAAGUCGAGCGGGGGAAGGUAGCUUGCUACCGGACCUAGCGGCGGACGGGUGAGUAAUGCUUAGGAAUCUGCUUAUUAGUGGGGGACAACAUCUCGAAAGGGAUGCUAAUACCGCAUACGUCCUACGGGAGAAAGCAGGGGAUCUUCGGACCUUGCGCUAAUAGAUGAGCCUAAGUCGGAUUAGCUAGUUGGUGGGGUAAAGGCCUACCAAGGCGACGAUCUGUAGCGGGUCUGAGAGGAUGAUCCGCCACACUGGGACUGAGACACGGCCCAGACUCCUACGGGAGGCAGCAGUGGGGAAUAUUGGACAAUGGGGGGAACCCUGAUCCAGCCAUGCCGCGUGUGUGAAGAAGGCCUUAUGGUUGUAAAGCACUUUAAGCGAGGAGGAGGCUACUUUAGUUAAUACCUAGAGAUAGUGGAUGUUACUCGCAGAAUAAGCACCGGCUAACUCUGUGCCAGCCGCCGCGGUAA